GGAUCCAUUGCUCAGUUGAUAGAGCACAAGGCUCUUAACCUUGUGGACGUGGGUUCA
Molecule: transfer RNA, 57 nt
Filed under: Triticum urartu
Lineage: Eukaryota; Viridiplantae; Streptophyta; Magnoliopsida; Poales; Poaceae
Rfam family: tRNA
About the family: Transfer RNA (tRNA) molecules are approximately 80 nucleotides in length. Their secondary structure includes four short double-helical elements and three loops (D, anti-codon, and T loops). Further hydrogen bonds mediate the characteristic L-shaped molecular structure. tRNAs have two regions of fundamental functional importance: the anti-codon, which is responsible for specific mRNA codon recognition, and the 3' end, to which the tRNAs corresponding amino acid is attached (by aminoacyl-tRNA synthetases). tRNAs cope with the degeneracy of the genetic code in two manners: having more than one tRNA (with a specific anti-codon) for a particular amino acid; and 'wobble' base-pairing, i.e. permitting non-standard base-pairing at the 3rd anti-codon position.
Source: Rfam by way of RNAcentral